Molecule: transfer RNA, 87 nt
Filed under: Salmonella enterica subsp. enterica serovar Newport
Lineage: Bacteria; Pseudomonadati; Pseudomonadota; Gammaproteobacteria; Enterobacterales; Enterobacteriaceae
Description: tRNA-Leu
Rfam family: tRNA
About the family: Transfer RNA (tRNA) molecules are approximately 80 nucleotides in length. Their secondary structure includes four short double-helical elements and three loops (D, anti-codon, and T loops). Further hydrogen bonds mediate the characteristic L-shaped molecular structure. tRNAs have two regions of fundamental functional importance: the anti-codon, which is responsible for specific mRNA codon recognition, and the 3' end, to which the tRNAs corresponding amino acid is attached (by aminoacyl-tRNA synthetases). tRNAs cope with the degeneracy of the genetic code in two manners: having more than one tRNA (with a specific anti-codon) for a particular amino acid; and 'wobble' base-pairing, i.e. permitting non-standard base-pairing at the 3rd anti-codon position.
Source: RNAcentral
GCGAAGGUCGCGGAAUUGGUAGACGCGCUAGCUUCAGGUGUUAGUGUUCUUACGGACGUGGGGGUUCAAGUCCCCCCCCUCGCACCA